This 325-nucleotide ribosomal RNA is filed under the name uncultured eukaryote. RNAcentral's name for it is "partial 18S ribosomal RNA". It matches the Rfam family "Eukaryotic small subunit ribosomal RNA", at positions 1470 to 1796 of the family's 1831-position model. The record is from RNAcentral.
CCCUUAGAUGUUCUGGGCUGCACGCGCGCUACACUGACGCACCCAACGGGUUUACGACCUUGCCUGGAAAGGUUGGGUAAUCCUACAAAAAUGCGUCGUGGUGGGGACAGAUUACUGCAAUAACUAAUCUUCAACGAGGAAUUCCUAGUAAGCGCGAGUCAUCAACUCGUGCUGAUUACCUCCCUGCCCUUUGUACACACCGCCCGUCGCUCCUACCGAUUAAGUGAUCCGGUGAAUAGUUCGGACUGCUGCAAUGCUUGGAUCCCGAGAAUUGCGGCGAAAGUUUAGUGAACCUUAUCACUUAGAGGAAGGAGAAGUCGUAACA